UCGAGAAUCUUCGGCAAUGGACGAAAGUCUGACCGAGCGAUGCCGCGUGCGGGAUGAAGGCCUUCGGGUUGUAAACCGCUGUCAGUUGGGAGGAAGGCUCCGUGAAGGGCGGGGUUUGACCUAUCUCCAGAGGAAGUCGGGACUAAGUUCGUGCCAGCAGCCGCGGUAACACGAACCGGACGAACGUUAUUCGGAAUUAUUGGGCUUAAAGGGUGCGUAGGCGGCGUGGUAAGUGAGGUGUGAAAGCCCACGGCUCAACCGUGGAAUUGCGCUUCAUACUGCUAUGCUAGAGGGAGACAGAGGUAAGCGGAACUGAUGGUAGAGCGGUGAAAUGCGUUGAUAUCAUCAGGAACACCAGUGGCGAAAGCGGCUUACUGGGUCUCUUCUGACGCUGAGGCACGAAAGCUAGGGUAGCGAACGGGAUUAGAUACCCCUGUAGUCC
This 442-nucleotide ribosomal RNA is filed under the name uncultured prokaryote. RNAcentral's name for it is "bacterial SSU rRNA". It matches the Rfam family "Bacterial small subunit ribosomal RNA", at positions 355 to 796 of the family's 1533-position model. The record is from RNAcentral.